UGGGAAGAAGGGUUUUGGGUUUAACAUUUGACCCUUUUCUUGCUGCUUCUUCGUUAUCAUAGUUGUCAUCAUCUUCAUCGUCUCUGGCCAGCAAUGAAUCCUGAAAAGGGUUUUUGUUGUGGUUGAAAUUGUUGUUGUUAUGAAUGAUAGGCUAGGAAGCUGGGUCCGUGUAUAUAUAUGUAUAUAUAUAUGGGAAGAAAGGUUUUGGGUUUAACAUUUGGCCCUUUCUUGCUGCUUCUUUGUUAUCAUCGUUGUUGUCAUCUUCAUCGUCUCUGGCCGGCAAUGAAUCCUGAAAAGGGUUUUUGUUGUGGUUGAAGUUGUUGUUGUUAUGAAUGAUAGGCUAGGAAGCUGGGUCCGUAUCUUGGCAAGGCGACCCGGAAGGUACUAUAUAUGUUGUACAAGUGAGGUCUGCAGCCAUGGCGGAUGUAUUGUCUCCUUUGCGUUGAUUAUACUGAUCUAAGACUUGAAAAAUUACCGCAAAAAAGGGUGUAUGCACAUACAUCUGUAUAUAUACACAUAAAGGAAUGGCCCUUUUGAUUCUUCUUUGUCGUUAUCGUCGUCGUCAUCAUCUUCAUCUUCACAAUUUAUGUCCAUUGAUGAAUCCUGAGAUGGGGUUUUUGCUGUGGUUGAAAUUGUUGUCAUUAUUGUUGUUGUUAUUACUUUUUGGAACAGCCUCUCUACGUUCACGAGGUAGUGGUAAGUUACCUUACUUGUGUGAUUUUAAUGGGUAUGUUGUUGUUGUAUUAUUGUUUGUUGUUUGUAUGGAUAAGAGGCUGUGAUGAUUAAGGUGUCUAGAGUUCAUGGGGCAAGGGAGCAAGGCCCGUAUCUUGGUGGUGCGACCCGAAAGGUACUGUUUGUUGUGCAACUGAAGUCUGCAGCCAUGGCGGAUGCAUUGUUUUCUUUGCUCUCAUUAUGUAAAUCUGAACCUGAAAAUCGGAAGUUUCUGCAGUAUGUAUACAGAUACAUCUCUCUCUCUAUAUGUGUGUGUGUGUGUGUAUAUAUAUACACAUACAGGAAUAAAGGGCCCAGGGUUUAAGAUUUGACCCUCUUGUUGUCACUUCUUCUUUUUCCUCUUCAUCAUCAUCAUCUAUGAAUCCUUGAAAAGGAAUUUUGCCGUGGUCGAUAUUAUUAUUAUUAUUACUAUUAUUGUUGAUGUUACGAAGGAUAGGCUGUGAUGAUUUAAGGUGUCUAGAGUUCACGGGGCAAGGGAGCUGUGCCCUUAGCUUGGCGGGGCGACCCGGAAGGUACUGUUUGUAGUGCAACCGAUGUUUGCAGCCAUAGCAGAUGCAUUGUUUACUUUGCCCUGAUUAUCCGGAUCUGAGCCUUAAAAAGUAUCCCCAAAAGGGUAUACGUAUACACAUACAUCUCUCUAUACCUCUCUCUACGUAUAUACAUUUCUCUUUGUCUUCUUUUACGGGUGACCUGUAAGGUGUAUGUUUAUGUUAUUUUUUCUAAAAAAUACUCAAAGAAAGGGUAUACAUAUAUCUCUUUACAUAUAUACAGAGAUCUUAUGGCUUGUGAUGAUAUCUGAGAAGGGCUGUUGUUGUUGCUCUUAUGGAUGAGAGGCUGUGAUGAUUAAGGUGUCUAGAAUUCAUGGGGUAAGGGAGCUGGACCCGUAUCUUGGCGGGGAAACCUGGAAGGCCUAUUUGUAGUGUAACUGAGGUCUGCAGCCAUGGUGGAUGAGUUGUCUCUUUUGCCCUGAUUAUACUAAUCUGAGCCUUAUAGUGGAAAGAUUUUGGAGGAAGAAAGGUUCAGGAUUUAAGCUCUGACCCUUUUUGUUUCUUCUUCAUCAUUGUCAUCAUCUUCAUCUCUUCCUCAAAUUUAUGUCAGACUAUGAAUCUUGAAAUGGGGUUUUGCCGUGGUUGAAAUUGUUGUUGUUGUUGCUGCACUUGAGCCAAGGGUCUUUCUGAAGCAGCCUCUCUCCACGAGGUAGUGGUGAGUUCUGCGUGCACUCUCCCUCCCCAGACCUCAUUUGUGGGAUUUUAUUGGGCAUGUUGUUGUAUUAUUGUUUUAGUUGUUUUUAUGGAUAAGAGGCUGUGAUGAUUAAGGUGUCUAGAGGAUGUGGGGCGAGGGAGCUGGGCCUGUAUCUUGGCGGGGUGACCUGAUUGGUAGUGCAACUAAGGUCUGCAGCCAUGGCGGAUGCAUUGUUUUCUUUGUCCUGAUUAUACUGAUCUGAGCCUUUUGCUGUUUCUUCAUUGUUGUUGUCAUCCUUAAAAAGAGUUUUUGCUGAUAUUGAAAUUGUUGUGUUAUUACUCCCUCCGUUUCAAAAUAGUUGACCUUCUUUCUAAAAUUAUUUAUUUCAAUUUAGUUGUGCCUUUUGGAAUAUACUCAAAUUUUUAUUUUCAAAGCAUAAUUAAUAAGGCUAAUUUGGUAAAAUAAACCCCUAAUAAAAAUUUUCUUAGGGAGUGCCAGGUCAACAAGGGCCAACUAUUUUGAAACGGAGGGAGUAUUAUAAUUAUUAUUAGUAUUAUUGUUAUUGUUAUUGGCGUUUUUGUUUUUGUUGGUGUUAGUUGUCUAGAGUUCAUGGGGGCAAGGGAGCUGGGUUCAUAUCUUGGCGGGGUGACCUGGAAGGUACAGUUUGUAGUGCAACGAGGCCUGAAGCCAUGGCGGAUGCAUUGUUCCCUUUGCCCUCGUUAUACUGAUCUGAGCCUCAAAAUAGGAUGUUUCUGCAUUAUCUAUACAGAUACAGAUACAUCUCUCUCUAUACACACACACCACACAGGAAUGAAGGGUUAAGGCUUUAAGAUUUGACCCUUUGCUGUUCUUCUUCUUCUUCUUCUUCUCAUCUCUGAAUCCUGCAAAAGGGUUUUCACUGUUGUUGUUGUAUUGUUACAGGUGAGAGGCUGCGAUGAUUAAGCUGUCUAGAGUUCAUAGAGUAAGGAAGAUGGGUCAGUAUCUUGGCGGGACGACCCGGAAGGUACUAUUGGUAGUGCAAUCAAGUCUGCAGCCAUGACGGAUGUGUUGUAUCCUUUGCUGCUCUGACUGUACUGAUCUGAGCCUUAAAAAAUACCCUUAGGCCUCAUUUGUUUGCACUUAAUGGAGAUCUGAAUCUGAAUGGUUCAGAUUUCAGUCUAUUAAGUGCAUUUGUUUUUUUUUUUAUAAACUGCCUCUUAAUGUAUCUGAAAGCCUCUGAAUCAGUCAGAUAUGAAAAAGAGUCUGAAUGAUGUUCAGACACUUUUUAAAACAUAAUUUAUUCCCUCAAAACUCUCUUUAAAUAUUUUAAUUAUCACUCAAAUAAUAUUCAGACUCUUUUUAAAACGUAAUUUAUUCUCUCAAAACUCUCUUUAAAUAUUUUAAUUAUCUUUAAAUAUUUUAAUUAUUACUCAAAUAAUAAUUUUGAUGUUUAAGUUUUAUCUAAUAUUUUUUUCAUAUAAUAUACUAUUUUAUUAUGUUUAAAAUUUGAAUUACAUAUUUAUUACGAAUAAAUAUAUUACAUACAUUCGGAGGUUAAAAAACAAACAGUCUUAAUCAUUCAGUAUUCAGAUCUAGAAACAUCUUAAUCAUUCAAAUAUUCAUUCAGAUUUAGACGUCUUAAUCUUAAAAAAAACAAAUGCACCCUUAAAGGGUAUGCAUAUACACAUGCAUCUCUCUACUUAUAUACAGGAAGAUCUUAUGGCUGGUGAUGAACUCUGGGAAGGGUUUUGCCGUUGUUGAUGUUGUUGCGCUCAAGUAUGAAAGGCUGUGAUGAUUAAGGUGUCUAGAGUUCAUGGGGCAAAGGGGAGCUGGGUCCGUAUCUUGGCGGGGCGCCCCGGAAAGUACUGUUCGUUGUGCAACUGAGGUCUGCAGCCAUGGCGGAUGUGUUGUCUUCUUUGCUCUGAUAUUCUAAUCUGAGCCUUAAAAUUGAACUCUAGUUGUGGGAAUUCACCGGGUAUGUUGUUGUUGAGCCUUAAAAUUGGAAGUUUCUGCAGUAUGUAUAUACACAUACAUAAUCUCUCCCUCUGUAUAUGUAUAUGUACAUGGGAAGAAGGGUUUAAGAUUUGACUCUUUUGCUACUUCUGUUUCUUCUUCUUUUUCUGCUUUUUCCUUAUCAUCAUCUAUUGCCGGUGUUGAAAUCCUCGAAAAGGGAUUUUGCUGUGAUUGAUAUUGUUGUUGCUGCUGCUGUUAUAUAUGAGAGGCUGUGAUGAUUUAGGUGCCUAGAGUUCAUGGGGCAAAGGGGAGCUGGUUCCGUAUCUUGGAGGAGCGACCCAGAAGGCCUAUUUCUAGUGCAUCUGAGGUCUGCAACCAUGGUGGAUGAGUCGUCUCUUUGCCCUGAUUAUACUGAUCUAAGCCUUAUAGCGUAAAGGUUUUGGAGGAAGAAGGGUUUAGGGUUUAAGCUCUGACCCUUUUUGUUUCUUCUUCAUCGUCGUUGUUGGGUUCAAAAUCCAGAGGACGUCAUGCGGAAGCUUAAAGUUGCAUAUACUAAGAGAUGAUAAAUCAGAUGACAAAGAAAAACUAAACUAAAAACAUACUAUAAUAAUCCAUUUCAUGGUUUACUGUGUUAAGUACAUUCGCGGUCGAGGAACCUUUAAUUGAAAUUUCAGCUCUGAAUAAUGAUGCAUUGGAAAAAUGGGAAAUUCGAAGGUGAAAAAAAAUGGGAAU
Molecule: long non-coding RNA, 4578 nt
Filed under: Capsicum annuum
Lineage: Eukaryota; Viridiplantae; Streptophyta; Magnoliopsida; Solanales; Solanaceae
Description: long non-coding RNA (CANN_LNC010832)
Source: RNAcentral